AUCAUGCUCACUACACAGGAGCUGAAAAUCACAAAGUUAAAGAUCACUGUGUAAUGGUUCGGGUACACAAUACAUUUCCAGUAAGAGUUCUGAUGGAUGACAAAUUGGUUUCUGACGUGGCUGUGCCGUUCUUUCUCCCCUUAACGGUGGUCGAAUAUUUCAGUCUAGUCUCCAGGUUUUAGCCUUGGACUGAACUAAAAGGUUACGGAUCCCUCUGUUUGUAAUUGUUUCCUGUUGUUGUGUACAAUGAAAAUGUGCAACGGACGAUCUCACCUGCUGAUUCAGCUAAUUUACAUUACAUUUU
Pundamilia nyererei is the source of this 304-nucleotide long non-coding RNA. RefSeq lists it as uncharacterized. NCBI's taxonomy places the organism in Eukaryota, Metazoa, Chordata, Actinopteri, Cichliformes, Cichlidae. The record is from RefSeq and is a predicted model, not a curated record. The transcript has 3 exons.